This 1177-nucleotide long non-coding RNA is filed under the name Triticum aestivum (bread wheat). RNAcentral describes it as "long non-coding RNA (TAES_LNC025669)". The record is from RNAcentral. Lineage: Eukaryota; Viridiplantae; Streptophyta; Magnoliopsida; Poales; Poaceae.
CCCUUUUAUUUUUGCUUUGCAUCAUGUCAUCAUGCCAUCAUCUCAUAAAUCUUUUGCAACUCACCUAAAUAAAUGGCAUGGAUCUUUGAUCCAUUUAAACCAAGGGAAUUCACAUGGUGAUUCUCUUUACAACAUAUCCUCCCAAUAUUAGGGAGCUAUUUUAAAUAUUUCUUUAAUUGGGAUAUCACCAUAACACACUUGCAAAUUAUCUCAAUGCCUUUGUUAUCUUAAUUCUUGGUCUCCAACCUUGCCAUAUAUUCUUUCAUCAUAUUCCGGAGCUCCACCAAAAAUCCAAACAUUUUUUGGACCUUCCCAACCCUCACUUCCUAUUCAAAUCAUUUGAAUUUAAAUCAAAUGAGUUUGAAUUUAAAUCUUUCAGUCAUAGCCUUUUUCUAUUUUCUCGGAAAAAGCACAUUUUUGUGAGUCCAGAAAAAUUAUCCGCGCGUCCAACUUCGUCCCCUAACCUCUCUUUCUUUUCUUCCUUAUCUCUGUUUUUUUUCUCUUUAGAGUGAGAGAGAGAGAGGGUGCCCAACAGGCCAUUUAGGCCCAGCUGCACCUCAGGCCAGCCGCAGCCCACUUGGGCCUCCCUAGGCCCACUCUCGCGCCGGCCUACCUAGGCUACCCGCACCGAGGCCAGCCCGCACGCCCCGUAACCCUAGGCCUCGAUCCCACUUCUCCCUCUCCCUCGUUUCCUUCCUCUCGCGCCGCCAGGGANNNNNNNNNNUGUGACGCCCCGAGACCGAUGCUCGAGAAGACUUCCAUAUGUUCCGGGUUUCGCCGUGUGUUUCAUUUGUGCCUGCCCUUUUAUUUUUGCUUUGCAUCAUGUCAUCAUGCCAUCAUCUCAUAAAUCUUUUGCAACUCACCUAAAUAAAUGGCAUGGAUCUUUGAUCCAUUUAAACCAAGGGAAUUCACAUGGUGAUUCUCUUUACAACAUAUCCUCCCAAUAUUAGGGAGCUAUUUUAAAUAUUUCUUUAAUUGGGAUAUCACCAUAACACACUUGCAAAUUAUCUCAAUGCCUUUGUUAUCUUAAUUCUUGGUCUCCAACCUUGCCAUAUAUUCUUUCAUCAUAUUCCGGAGCUCCACCAAAAAUCCAAACAUUUUUUGGACCUUCCCAACCCUCACUUCCUAUUCAAAUCAUUUGAAUUUAAAUCAAAUGAGUUUGAAUUUAAAUCUUUCA